RNAcentral lists this ribosomal RNA (253 nucleotides) under uncultured bacterium. RNAcentral's name for it is "partial 16S ribosomal RNA". It matches the Rfam family "Bacterial small subunit ribosomal RNA", at positions 524 to 776 of the family's 1533-position model. The record is from RNAcentral.
UACGGGGGGGGCAAGCGUUGUUCGGAAUUACUGGGCGUAAAGGGCUCGUAGGCGGCCAACUAAGUCAGACGUGAAAUCCCUCGGCUUAACCGGGGAACUGCGUCUGAUACUGGAUGGCUUGAGUGUGGGAGAGGAAUGCGGAAUUCCAGGUGUAGCGGUGAAAUGCGUAGAUAUCUGGAGGAACACCGGUGGCGAAGGCGGCAUUCUGGACCAUUACUGACGCUGAGGAGCGAAAGCCAGAGGAGCAAACGGG